This 250-nucleotide ribosomal RNA is filed under the name uncultured bacterium. Its description in RNAcentral is "partial 16S ribosomal RNA". It matches the Rfam family "Bacterial small subunit ribosomal RNA", at positions 524 to 773 of the family's 1533-position model. The record is from RNAcentral.
UACGUAGGUGGCAAGCGUUAUCCGGAAUUACUGGGCGUAAAGCGCACGCAGGUGGUUGUCUAAGACGGACGUGAAAGCUCCUGGCUUAACUGGGAGAGGUCGUUGGUGACUGGAUGACUUGAGGCGAGGAGAGGGGUGUAGAAUUCCCGGUGUAGUGGUGGAAUGCGUAGAGAUCGGGAGGAAUACCAGUGGCGAAAGCGACACCCUGGCCUUGGCCUGACGCUCAGGUGCGAAAGCGUGGGGAGCGAAC